Molecule: ribosomal RNA, 253 nt
Filed under: uncultured bacterium
Lineage: Bacteria
Description: partial 16S ribosomal RNA
Rfam family: Bacterial small subunit ribosomal RNA
Source: RNAcentral
AACGUAGGUGGCAAGCGUUAUCCGGAUUUACUGGGCGUAAAGGGUGUGCAGGCGGGGAAACAAGUGGUGGAUGAAAUCACCCGGCUUAACCGGGUGGGGUUAUGCCAGACUGUUUUUCUGGAGGACGAGAGAGGGGCGUGGAAUUCCGGGUGUAGUGGUGAAAUGCGUAGAGAUCAUGAGGAAGACCAGUGGCGAAGGCGGGUCUCUGGACAGUUCCUGACACUGAGGCGCGAAAGCGUGGGGAGCGAACAGG